This 84-nucleotide microRNA precursor is filed under the name Bombyx mori (domestic silkworm). RNAcentral's name for it is "mir-2807 microRNA precursor family". It matches the Rfam family "mir-2807 microRNA precursor family". Lineage: Eukaryota; Metazoa; Arthropoda; Insecta; Lepidoptera; Bombycidae. The record is from Rfam by way of RNAcentral.
UUAACUUAAGUUUGUAUGGAGUUGGAAACUUUGCCUACGUUUGCCGCUAGGGGCGUUGUUCCAACUGCAUACAAAUUUGAGUUA